Molecule: ribosomal RNA, 448 nt
Filed under: uncultured bacterium
Lineage: Bacteria
Description: partial 16S ribosomal RNA
Rfam family: Bacterial small subunit ribosomal RNA
Source: RNAcentral
UGUCCAGACUCCUACGGGAGGCAGCAGUGGGGAAUAUUGCACAAUGGGGGAAACCCUGAUGCAGCGACGCCGCGUGAGCGAUGAAGUAUUUCGGUAUGUAAAGCUCUAUCAGCAGGGAAGAAAAUGACGGUACCUGACUAAGAAGCCCUGGCUAACUACGUGCCAGCAGCCGCGGUAAUACGUAGGGGGCAAGCGUUAUCCGGAUUUACUGGGUGUAAAGGGGGCGCAGACGGCAGCGCAAGCCAGGAGUGAAAGCCCGGGGCCCAACCCCGGGACUGCUCUUGGAACUGCGCGGCUGGAGUGCAGGAGGGGCAGGCGGAAUUCCUGGUGUAGCGGUGAAAUGCGUAGAUAUCAGGAGGAACACCAGUGGCGAAGGCGGCCUGCUGGACGACAACUGACGGUGAGGCGCGAAAGCGUGGGGAGCAAACAGGAUUAGAUACCCGCGUAC